RNAcentral lists this unclassified non-coding RNA (240 nucleotides) under soil metagenome. RNAcentral describes it as "partial contains 5.8S ribosomal RNA, internal transcribed spacer 2, and large subunit ribosomal RNA". The record is from RNAcentral.
AACGCACGAGACCUGCGGACCUGCGGAGGGAUCAUUAAUGAGAAGCUGCCCCUCGUGGGUAGACCUCCCACCCUCUGUGAACUUACCUUUGUUGCUUUGGCAGGCCCGUCCUCUGGACCGCCGGCUUCGGCUGGCCCGUGCCUGCCAGAGGAUUCCAAACCCUGUCUGCCAGUGUUGUCUGAGUCUAUAUGAAAUCGUUAAAACUUUUAACAACGGAUCUCUAGAUCGGAAGAGCACACG